This is a non-coding RNA of Camelina sativa (false flax), 775 nucleotides long. The record is from RefSeq and is a predicted model, not a curated record. NCBI's taxonomy places the organism in Eukaryota, Viridiplantae, Streptophyta, Magnoliopsida, Brassicales, Brassicaceae.
GACCAUGACACUCUUGAGUAUGUAUUUACAGGAGGUACAUGGGUCACAAGAGGACCAUCAGGCCAAAUGCAAAGAAGCUAAGUGCUUUGUUCAUGGACCGAGAAAAGAUGGAGUGGCAAACUUUCGCCAAGAAAGUGAAAUCUUGUCAGCGUGGAUUCAUGGGUGAUCCAGAUGAGUUUAAACCAGGACGUGGUGAGUUCCACGAGUACCCACAAUCUUGCAUAUGUCAGAGACCCUUCUCUUAUGACAAAACCUCAACUGACGACGAAGAAGACGACAUACCAGAAGAGAACCACAACAGCACCAGCUUUAGACAUGAGCAUUUGUCUUCAGCUGACCAUGAGCGUGACGAAGUUUUCCCAGACUAGCAAAAUGGUUCUGCUGCAUCAAUAUAGGUCGCUGGAGAUUUUACUGUAACCAGCUGUUGUAAGGAGAUUGAUCAACACAGGUAGAUCGAGGAGAGGAAUAGGAGCUUCCCACGUAGCUACUUGUUGCUUCUAAAGUGUUCAUAGAUACUUCUAUCGAAUAGGCAUACAUAACCCCAGCUCUUCUCUUUGUUUCUUUCUGAUUUUGAAACACCACCACCAAAACUAUCUCUCUUAUCUUGUAUUUGUCUUAUAUCUAGCUUUUGGUCUUUCAACCCGUUGGUCUUUUUUUCUUAUGGUAUUCCCUUAGAUUUCCUGAAAUGUAAAAUCAAGUUUCCCUCUGAUUCCUAACAUUUUUGUUUGUAUUUCAUUUUGAAUAUCAGAAAAGAUGUGCAUUGAUUUCGAUUCAA